GUCUAUGGCCAUACCACCCGGAACGCUCUAAAUCUUGUCUGAUCUCAGAAGCUAAGCAGGGUCGGGCCUGGUAGUACUUGGAUGGGAGAAAAUAAUUUCCAUUCAUU
Ribosomal RNA from Bos indicus x Bos taurus (hybrid cattle), 107 nucleotides. Lineage: Eukaryota; Metazoa; Chordata; Mammalia; Artiodactyla; Bovidae. The record is from Ensembl.